UAAAACCAAACAAAUCAAAUAUAUAAAUACUGUAUAAAAUGGACGUAUA
This 49-nucleotide non-coding RNA is filed under the name Trypanosoma brucei brucei. Lineage: Eukaryota; Euglenozoa; Kinetoplastea; Trypanosomatida; Trypanosomatidae. The record is from RNAcentral.